RNAcentral lists this ribosomal RNA (506 nucleotides) under uncultured bacterium. RNAcentral's name for it is "bacterial SSU rRNA". It matches the Rfam family "Bacterial small subunit ribosomal RNA", at positions 18 to 518 of the family's 1533-position model. The record is from RNAcentral.
CCUGGCUUAGGACGAACGCUGGCGGCGUGCUUAACACAUGCAAGUCGAACGGGGAUCAUCGGGCGGAAGGCUUCGGCCGGAAGGCUGGUGAUUCCAGUGGCGGACGGGUGAGUAACGCGUGAACAAUCUGUCCCAGACAGGGGGAUAACACUUGGAAACAGGUGCUAAUACCGCAUGAGACCACGGUGUCGCAUGGCACAGAGGUAAAAGGAGUAAUCCGGUUUGGGGUGAGUUCGCGUCCGAUUAGCCAGUUGGCGGGGUAACGGCCCACCAAAGCGACGAUCGGUAGCCGACCUGAGAGGGUGAUCGGCCACAUUGGAACUGAGAGACGGUCCAAACUCCUACGGGAGGCAGCAGUGGGGAAUAUUGGGCAAUGGGCGAAAGCCUGACCCAGCAACGCCGCGUGAGUGAAGAAGGCCUUCGGGUUGUAAAGCUCUGUUAUAGGGGACGAAGUGCGUGACGGUACCCUAUAAGGAAGCCCCGGCUAACUACGUGCCAGCAGCGGC